AUGUCUAAAUUCCCAGCAGGGAAAAAAAUACAUCGGGCCAAAUAUGCUGCAUGUUGGGCCAACCGAGAGGAGGGGCUGGGGGUUUCUCACCAUGGGCCAUGGCCCGGUCAGUGGAGAUGCUGCUGGCUGGAGUCGUGGUCAACGGGCGAAGGGGAGGCGCUGGGAUACGCGAUGCAAGCGGGGCGCAGUCAACGCAGGCAGGGGAUCGAGCGGGACUUGGUGCUGGCCUCGUCCUUGAUGCAGAGAAAGCAGGGCGCGGCAACACUGGACGGGAAGGCAGCAGCGAAGUCCGGCGAGGCAGGGGGACUUGGGCGACGCGGGAAGCAGAGGAGGUCGAGGCGCCAUGGCAGUAGAGCGACAACGGCGGCGGAACUUGGGGCACCAGAGGUGGGGACGGGGCCCUGCUGGCGGGAUCCGUCUAGGAACGAGCAAUGGCGAUGGAGGAGGAGCUCUGCUCCGGCGAGCUGGUGA
RNAcentral lists this ribosomal RNA (471 nucleotides) under Triticum aestivum (bread wheat). RNAcentral describes it as "partial small subunit ribosomal RNA". Lineage: Eukaryota; Viridiplantae; Streptophyta; Magnoliopsida; Poales; Poaceae. The record is from RNAcentral.